CACAGCAGCAGACGACUGUAGAGUUUAGUAGUUCGUGUCAUACGUUUGUACGGUAUUGUGUUGCGUUUUCUGUGUAAUAUGUGAGUGAUUUGAUGGUGGAGACAGGAAAUCACGGAAAGACACAUAUUGAGUGUGUGGCUUAGGAGGGCAAUCAUGGACUGCAAGGGAACUAGUUGGGUGAAAAAAGAGAAGAGUGAAAUAUAUGCUGAACCAGAAUCCUUGUUUCUUGAAGGUCCGCUAAAGAUUUUAAUGCCUAGUCUCCAUAUAAAGUAAGACCUAGAACUGAAACAGGAGGAUGGCAUUGAGCGUGAUUGUCUUGAAGAUAACUUGGGAAUCUCUCAUGCAAAUGAUUUUAUCAAGGAGGAUCCUGAACUAAAUUUGGAGGUG
This is a long non-coding RNA of Schistocerca americana (American grasshopper), 387 nucleotides long. RefSeq lists it as uncharacterized. The transcript is spliced from 4 exons. Lineage: Eukaryota; Metazoa; Arthropoda; Insecta; Orthoptera; Acrididae. The record is from RefSeq and is a predicted model, not a curated record.